Molecule: ribosomal RNA, 118 nt
Filed under: Staphylococcus capitis
Lineage: Bacteria; Bacillati; Bacillota; Bacilli; Caryophanales; Staphylococcaceae
Description: partial 23S ribosomal RNA
Rfam family: Bacterial large subunit ribosomal RNA
Source: RNAcentral
AGAUUAAGUUAUUAAGGGCGCACGGUGGAUGCCUUGGCACUAGAAACCGAAGAAGGACGUUACUAACGACGAUAUGCUUUGGGUAGCUGUAAGUAAGCGUUGAUCCAGAGAUUUCCGA